Non-coding RNA from Podarcis lilfordi (Lilford's wall lizard), 72 nucleotides. Lineage: Eukaryota; Metazoa; Chordata; Lepidosauria; Squamata; Lacertidae. The record is from the annotation of a GenBank genome assembly.
UUUGUGUGUGUGUGUGUGUGUGUGUGUGUGUGUGUGCGCGCACACACACACACACACACACACAAUCAUAAG